Non-coding RNA from Cinara cedri, 699 nucleotides. Lineage: Eukaryota; Metazoa; Arthropoda; Insecta; Hemiptera; Aphididae. The record is from the annotation of a GenBank genome assembly.
AUAAACUUUAGCGAAGUGUAUAUUCGUUUCGUUGGUAAUGCUGUUUAUGAAAAUAUCGAUAUUGGAAAAAUGGUUGGACAAUUCGAAAACCAUAAAGCGUCCCAUUAACCGGACGGUCCGCAUCUUUUUUAAGGUACCGUAUGAUUAAAUUGGAGAAUUCUUAACAGCAAACAAGUGUUGUAUGUGAAAAACACCUCAUUUUGGUAAAACCACCAGGUUUUAACGAUACACUCGGAAUUGAAAACCCCUCGAAUUUAUAAUAAGUAUUAUCUUAGGCGGGUCGGGUCUAUCACGAACGGGCACGACCCGCGCAAUUUGAUUUGGACAUAUUUGCCACUGUAUUCGCGGUUGUAUUAUUUUAAAAUUAAUAUUGUUUACGUGACUAGUAAAAAACCCCGUGCGUAACAGAGCUGCUUCACUAGAGUCGAAUUUUCCCUCGGUCGACUUGUCGUUCCGAGUCUGUGAAUAUUUAAAACCCGGUGUUUUCAAUGAAAAACAUGAAAUUCGACCGCAGAAAUGAUCGGGGAGGGCGAUGAAUAUCGAAUCCCCCAAAAGGCACAUUAUCCUUGAUCCUUAUACUAUGCAUAAACAAUAUUUCAUCUCCCUGGCUUCAUCGGAGGUCCGUGGGUACGUGCAAAGUUGAAAAAAUAAAACCCGGACAACACGGUGAAAUUGAAUGAAAAUUUUAUAAUUUUCUUC